Molecule: long non-coding RNA, 253 nt
Filed under: Lathyrus oleraceus (garden pea)
Lineage: Eukaryota; Viridiplantae; Streptophyta; Magnoliopsida; Fabales; Fabaceae
Description: Pisum sativum (pea) long non-coding RNA (PSAT_LNC029212)
Source: RNAcentral
CGGGUCUUCUCUCUGAUGUCUCGUGAACCUUCUACUUAUGAUAAUCCCUCGUUAUAUGGACCAGCUUCUGACAAUGAAAAAAUCUUUCUAGCCCAGUCUUACACUUUCCCAAUUGAGGCCUCUAGUUAGUGUUUCAUUGGGGUGGUUGAAUGGGUAUAAUGCCUUGAACCUGCUUUCCUUGCCUAAGUUUCUGGAACUCUAACUAUUUGUGGGGCCGUAAACUAUUUGGAAAAUACUUGUUCAAAAAUAUUUC